Molecule: non-coding RNA, 6718 nt
Organism: Vicugna pacos (alpaca)
Lineage: Eukaryota; Metazoa; Chordata; Mammalia; Artiodactyla; Camelidae
Source: RefSeq, a predicted model, not a curated record
AUAUAAUGAUUCUAUUUAUGUAUACAUUGGUAACUGAUCACCACAGCAGGUCUAGUUCACAUCUAUCACCUCACAUAAUUACUAUUUUUUUUGAUGAGUAGAACUUUUAAGAUCUACUCUCUUAGCACCUUUCAAAUAUACAAUACAGUAGUAUGAACUAUAAUCACCAUGCUGCCCAUGACAUCCUCAGGAUUUAUUUAUUUUGUAACUGGAAGUUUGUGCCUUUUGAUCACCACCCAAACAGUUGAUUCUUAAAGGACAAAGAUAAUACGUGUUCAAUGCUUGAACUUUCUGAGGCUCAGGGAAAGGCUGCCAGGGGGCUUAUGAAGUGUGGCAUCUAUACUAAAGCACUGCAGACCCAGAGGAUGGAUGGUUUGGUUCAAUCCUAUAAAUAUGCUGUGAAUGACUGGCUUCAUGCUAGUUGGCAAUGCAAAAAGGAGUCACACCUUGACCUUGCAAUUGUGGCUCUCAUAGCCUAGGGGAGAUCUAGGUGCUUAAACAGGAAAUAUAAUACAGUGAUCUGUGUUCUGAGUGCAGUGCAGCCAGAUUGCUUUGAGAGUCCGGACAAGGGACUUUGAGUCCCACCCUUUAAAGGUGUGAGGUCUUGGUCAGUUUGUAUAUUUUGAUGGAUAGGACAAGUAUGCCCAGUUAUACACAAGCACUAACAUAUACUUUCCCCUUGAAGCUGGUGAUUGCAGAGAACACAGGCAUCUUCACGAGGCAAUAGAAAACACCUAAAAGUGAGAAGCUUAGGAUGAGCCUCUGAAAAUGCAUUGAUUACAGACAAGCCCAGCUCUUUGGGCGCUGCUGGAAAUUAUCACUCCGGAUCCCUCUUUCUGCUGGGGAGGGAAGGGAACUGACAUUUACAAGGCAACUGACAUGAGCCAAAUGCCUUAAAGGUUGUCUCCCCUGAUGUCCAAGGAGAUCUUCUAAGAUGAACAUUUGAGCAUCUUUCUAGGCUGAGGAAGUCGAGGUUCAGAGAAGUUAGACAAUUGGCCCGAGCUCAGACAGUUAGAACUUGACCAAAUGAGGAUUCUAAUUCGGAGCUCUCUGACUCAGUGCCUGUGCGUGCCCUUUCUCCAUGUCUGCUGCUCUGUCCUGACUCCCAAGUUCCACUCUCUUUAUGAGUGUUUGCUCUUUUUUCUGUUUUCUUUUAUUGUUAUCACACUGCCUUCAGAGAGCCAGCCCUUUCACCUUUCCGUGGCACUUUCGGAUGCAUUGAAGUCUUUGAGCCACUGGUGAGCCUAACGUCUAAAAAGAGGUGCAAGUUAAAGUGAAUGGGGUCAUUAUCAUCAUCAUCAUAAUCAGAGAACAAGCACGGUGAUCCUGAGCCUGCAGUUACAUUUGCUUCCUUGCUAGGCACUAGGUAGAACGAUUUGGGUAAAUGUGAUUUCUGUUUUCUAGAGACAGAUGUUCCCCUGGAUGUGGAGUUUAAUUGGAAAUAAUGCAGGAAAUAUGAUUUGGGGAUUUUGUGUUUCAAAAGACCGAGGGGUCUGCCAUGGCAGUCUAAGGCUGCACAAAAGUAAUGUAGAGGCUCUAUAAAGGCAGGAUGGUAACAAUAAAGUAGAAAAAGAGCAAACGCUCAUAAAAGAAGUGGAAACUCAGGAGGAAGUGAGAUGACUCUAUGAAAAGGGUAUUGGACAGUGCACUGAAGUGCGUGUGUGCGUGCGUGCGCAUGUGUGUUUUGGGGGGAGGUAAGGGUAGGGGAAGGGAUGAGAAGAACGCAGUGAAUUAUGACAUUCCUGUCGAUUCCUUAUCUUUUCUUGUUAGCACAGCUCAUCCGGACUCCACCCGCCUUUCUUUUCUCUGGACUGUCUGCACUUUCUAGGUCGUUGCUCUGCUAUUUUGAAUGGAGAAGUCCUUGGGUCUCAGUCCAGGAAAGAUGGCCAGAAAGGGCCUGCUUUCAUAGUUGGGCCAUCCUGCAAGCACUGUUUUCCAGAGCCUGCAUUCUGAAAAACCGGGGCCUAGGAAGGAGGUAGGGGAUGAAGGUGGGUGUGGGGGUAAAAUCCGGGAAGCCUUUUGAAAUGAAUGAAGUGAGAAUUGAGACAAUUUCCACGUGAAGUCACCUCUCCACGUAUUUGUCAUUAACUGUCUGGGACCAAAUGGGGCUAAUUUAGCAUCAUGCUGGAAAGUCUGUAACGUGAACCACGUCCUAGGGCCGGAGCAUCCAGGUUUUGAUCCUUUGUGAACGCCCCUCUUUUGGAAUUCCAUCUGGUGUCAGUACAUAGGAACUAAGGGCUGUGCCAGGUUGUGAGUCAUCACUCCCUGCUUCCUUCCAGAGCACCGUGGGAAAAGCAUAGGCAGACUGGCUCAGAUCAAACCCAGUCCCACCCAAACGCUCACUGAAGGCUGGAAACAAAUCCAUUUAAAAAAUGUUUUAAAAAUUGAACUGAACUCAGGAAAGAGAUUAUAAGCUUCUGUUCUUUGGUUUCAACUUGGAUCUGAAGCCUUGUUUUGCUUUCUGUUAACUCUCAAAGCUCACUUUGGGUGUUAUCUGUAACCCUUUAGGAUUUUUAGGGGGUUUCCACUUGCCUUUUAAAGGACAUUUAUUAACUGGUUCCACCAUGCUAGGGUUUGGGGAUACAAAUUUGACUAAGAUGUGGCCCCUGACUUUGAGGACAGCACAGUUUAGAGUGGUGAGGGCAUGGGUCAUAUUGUGUGUGUAAAUGCUGUGUGAUAAACCUGUUCAUAAGGAUACAGUGUACAGAGACUGCCUGAGGAUCCUUGUCUGAACACGGCUCUGUGCUGGGGUUGGUGGUCCUCCCAUUGCACUGGAUGGUGUUGCUCUUGGAAGUUCCAGUACUUCUCCUGCAGAGCUUGAAAGAACAGGCUAUGUUCUUGUCUGCUUGGACAUAAAUGACUGUGCUUAGAACAUAGUAAGAGCAUGAGUCUUGAGGGUCCUCUAACAAUCUCUCAUUGAUAAAGGCUUGGCUAUUUUUGUUCUGAAUGCCUUUUCACUUCCCUUCGGUAAGCAAUCCGGGCUUCCUGACAGGGUGGCCUUCUGUCUUCUGGCGUUCCGAAGAUAACUGGCGGACAUGUUUUCCAAGCUAAAGGUGACAUUUCAUCGUCUCCCAACAUUGUUCCUGAUGAUUUGGUGUUUGCAAAGCUGAGCACCGAAUUUCAUGUGUGUGCACUACAAAUUGGAUCUGCAGGUCCAGCCACGUCAGACCCCAUCAGCCACUCUUGUUCUCUGGACUUGCCUAAACCAUUCCAGGAAUUACCAGAUACCUGAUUGCAUGCAGCUGUGGGUGUCCCAGGUAGAGCGGGGAGGAGGGCCACAGAAGCUGGUUUAUGAGCACAGGAAAUGCUUAUUUCACGACUCAGACUCCGUGUCUCUGUAAGCGUCUGCUCUGCUCCCUCGGAUUAAGCGGCUGUAACAUUGCCACUCGUCGCCGAGGCUCCUGGUUUCAGCAUGUCUCCUUGGUUCCAAGCCAGUCCUGGUGUUCAGGUAGCAGCUGUGGCUGGGAGUGUCUCUUCAGCCCGCAUUCCUUGGCUACGAAUUUUGCAGCCCUGUUUAUCUGAUGAAGAUCUCCUCGUGAUGGCAGAGAGCUGAGCCAGGCAGUGCCCCCUCCCAAACCCGGAUGCCCUCCCUGUUCACCAGCCCCUCGAAGCCUUUACCGCCUUCACAUACAACAGGCAUUUAAAGGAUCUGGCAAGACUGCCGGUUAGGUAAUGCAAUUCAGGAGAUGGCUUUCUCCACGCCAUGGGGAACAUGGCUCUGAGCAACCUUGGUCUCUUCAUCUCAUCCAAACAGCUCUUCAACCAGCAAAGAUGAAGAGUUCUUCCUCUCUGACUCCAGCCUGAAAACAAUCCCAAGCAUGAGUUGCAUUGGACCAACUUAGGUCACAUAUUCUCCCCCAAACCAAUCACAGCCAGGAAGAUGGGGUAAUAUGAUUGGUCCAAUUGAGAGCACACAUCCAUGCUUUUCAUUAGAAUUUUUUCCCAUUAAAGAGAUGCAUUGGGCACACAAAGAUAGUAACCUUUAUCCUCUAUGAGAGGUAAUAGAAUAAUUAAUGUGUUUUUGUUAAAGUUGGUUUAAAAAGCCAAAACACUAGAACCUCAGGAUAGCUGGCUAAGAUUCCACAAAGUCUGAUUGGACAUGUCAUGUGGACUUUUCAGCCAAGAAAUGAAAACUAUUAUACUUUUGUCUCCCAGUGUGUUAGCUCACAGAGUACCAACUUAAAUUUAUUUCUUAGUAUGCAGACAUUUUAAUAGAGAAAGUUACAAACACUUGGGUACUAUCUUAGAAAAAGUAGACCCUCUAAAGAGGGUGACUGAGGGCUGCACCACAGAUGAACAUCACUGUUGUUUGAAAACCUUCAGGGUGCUUUGUCCUGUGGGAAUACAUUAUUCUAACACUUUGCUUAACAUUUUUGCUUCCUGUAGAGUGGGCUGAGGAUGGGACCUCAAAACAGACAUAAAUUGAAUUCAAUAGUGGAUGAACGUCUCCUGAAGUCUUUGCCAGGGUUAUUGCAGACAUUGAGCUGUUUGCUCUUGGCCCCAGUGCUUCAGUGUCCACUCACUAUUACAUUAGUGGGAGGACUGUUGUAUUGUAUUAGAGAUCUGGAGAGCUUGUGACGCGUAAAGAGUCAGUGUUUUGACUUUUUAUGCCAGCAUCAUCACUUCUGCACUUGUAUCACAUUUCUCCUAUCAGUUAGGCUCUCAAUUCAAGGUUACCUUGAUUACUUUCAGAUCUUCAAUCAUGAAUCUUUCUAAACUAUUUUUACCUCCAAAUGCUCUUGUCUUUUCACUGACUCACUUUUUCUUCUUUCUGUCUGAAAACCAGAGAUAUCCCUAACCUUUUCCAGCACUAAAUUCUUCCCUCUUUCACCUCUUUAGAAAACUAACUCCAUCCAUUACUUCAUCUUCUAUUUGUAGCUCCAGUUAUUGCUCUCUGAUGCAUGUCUCCUCACUUACCUACCUACAAUACUAUCUCCUUGAGAUACCAUCAAAAGGGAUAAUAUAUGAGGAAGCACACGGUUGCUCUAAAGUGGAAUAUAGCCAUGAUGGAAUAUCAUUGCUUUCCGAUCUUUCUCCUUCACUCCACAAUUUUCUAAAAAAAAGUCAAUAUAAAUAUUUCUUGAUUUUGCUUUCUUGCUACUCAACUCAUUACUUAAUAUCUUAAAAUCUGACUUCAUUCUCCUAACUCAAUGAUCUGGGGUCCAUAUCGUUGCUUGUCUUUCUUCUAGCUUGUGACGCAGUCGACCAUGCUUUCCUCUUUUGGUUUCUAUAACCUCACUCACUACUUUGGUUCACCUUCUCUCUCUCUGACCACUCAUAUUUUAAUGAUCAUCUUAAAUGAUGAUCACUAAGUGAUGGUCCCCAUCAUUCUGUCCUUGCUCUGUCUCCUCCUGCCCCCCUCUCUCUCAUUCUCAUAAAUACUUCUUGAAAGAAUUCCCAGAUCUCUCUCUUCACAUCAACUUCUUUGUUAAAUGCCUGCUGAAAACUUUAACCUACAUAUAUCAAUCAGUAGCACCCAGACACAAUGUGUGCUCAAAUCAACUCUUAUCCCAUCUGAAAUAUCUUCUGCCCCAUCUCAGCCAACAUCUCUAUCCAGUCACUUAGGCUUGAGGCCUUGGUUCCAUCUUGAUUCCCCUCCCUCCCCUAGACCUGACUCCAAUUUAAGCCAUAUUUUAAGGAUACAUUUUCCUAUUCACCUGCCUUCACUGUGUCUCUCCUCUCUGCCUUCUCCUCCUUCAGGCAGUAUGGUUCCAGCUGCUGGAGCAGCACACAGUCUAUUAUUUUGCUUUCAGUGAGGUUGUCCAGAAGUAUUUUGUGGCUCUACUUUUUCCUUUCUUCCUCAUCUUUUUCUGUUUCUGAGGUGACUAACCCUUUGAACUUUAACCACAGAGAUCACUAAAUCUUCUACACAAGCACUCUUCUUAUAACCCCAGUGGACACUGAUGUGUUGAGAAUGGCCUGCAUAAUAUGUCUAAUAAGUAACGGGUGUAAGCUGACUAUUGUUUGUCAGCAGUGACAUGACAGAAAUACAUUUCACAGCCAUGUGUCUUACCAACAUAAUUUGCAUCUUCAAAUAAGUCAGUAUCUUCAUAUAGGACAACAUUUCAAAGAUACUUGAUUUAGAAAGCUGAGGUUUUGAGGCUCUAACGAUGAGCUAAUGAAUGCACUUUAAACAUACUGCUUGAGUUUUGAUGCUUUUCUAGCAAUCAUCGAAUAUAAUUCCAGUUUAUGCGGACCCUCAUCAGAAACAUCACCUUCCAACCUCUAACUUUAUUUCUGCUGGUCCUAUUAACAAAGAAUGAUUAAAGACAACUUCAGUCUUCCCAGUUUCACCCUUAAAGACAUGGGAUGUAACAGCAGUGCACUGAGUAGCUGUGAAAAAGAAGAGGGAAGCCCCUUGCAUGUUACGUGGACUGAUCUCUGUGUGGACUGAAUUGUUUGUGUCUCCCCAGAGUCCAUAUGUUGAAACCCUAACCCCCACCCUCGCUGCCGUGUGGUUGGGAAGCAGAGUCUUUGGGAGGUAAUUAGGGUUAUCUGAGAUCAUGCAGGUGGGGCCCUCACAGUGAGAUUAUUACCCUUAUAAGAGGAGAAACUGGAGAGCUUGCUGCCUCUCUCCGCCACGUGAGGACGCAAUGAGAAGACGGCUGUCUGCAAGUCAGGAAAAGAGCCCUUCCCAGAACCUGAUCGUCCUGGAGCCCUGAUGCAGGAUUUCCAGUAUCCAGAAAUGUGAGAAAAUAAAUUUCUGUUAUUUAAGCCA